UAACAAUGAUACCCUUAGUAGCGGCGAGCGAAGUGGGUAAAGCUCAAGUUUAAAACCUGUUUGUCCUAGACAAACCGGAUUGUAAACUAAGGACGUGCUAUCCAGGCUCUUUGGACCUUCAAGUCCUUUGGAAUAAGGCUUCACAGAGGGUGACAAUCCCGUAGAGGGUCUUGAAAGAGUCUAUUGCGAUGCAUGCUCCAAGAGUCAGGUUGUUUGGGAAUGCAGCCUAAAGUGGGAGGUAAAUCCCUCCUAAAGCUAAAUAUUGGCGAGAGACCGAUAGCAAACAAGUACCGUGAGGGAAAGUUGAAAAGGACUUUGAAAAGAGAGUCAAAAGUACGUGAAAUUGCUUAAAGGGAAGCGUUUGGAGCUAGUUUGGCUAGUCUGUUAUCAGCCUGAGCUUCGGCUUUGGUGUACUAUCAGGCUAUUUGCCGGCCAACUUUCAGGAUUGGAAGGAAAGCUUAGUGCUUUGGAGUCUAAAGAGACCUUUGCGGAAGCCUCUGGUGGAGCGUUGGUCUGCCUUGGCCCUUCUGAACCUAUAGUUGGCUUAAUGGCUCUA
Molecule: ribosomal RNA, 556 nt
Filed under: Rhizomucor pusillus
Lineage: Eukaryota; Fungi; Mucoromycota; Mucoromycetes; Mucorales; Lichtheimiaceae
Description: eukaryotic LSU rRNA
Rfam family: Eukaryotic large subunit ribosomal RNA
Source: RNAcentral